Molecule: long non-coding RNA, 1100 nt
Organism: Passer montanus (Eurasian tree sparrow)
Lineage: Eukaryota; Metazoa; Chordata; Aves; Passeriformes; Passeridae
Exons: 3
Source: RefSeq, a predicted model, not a curated record
UACUCUUUGCAACUGCAGUUCUCUGCUUGCAUAAACGUAUCCCAAGCUAGGACGGGGAAGCUGGCCAUCCUACAGCUGAAGCUGGGAUGGUUUGUAGCUUUACCAGAUUCAUGAGGUGUUAGAAAUGGCUUCUUUUAAAUGCCAAGGCUGGUGUAAAUUGUAGGCUCUGAACCCUGUGCACACAGAGACUCAGUCACUGUGAUGAGAGUGACUGGUGAGUGGAAGAACCCUUUUCCUGGUCCUCUUUGUAGCUUGGAGUUUUUUCCUGGAAAGAAAUUGUGGCUUCAGGGUGACCAUGGCCUGGAAAUCAGCAGUCAGUCCCUAUUUGUUUUUAAAUAGAAGACUUUCAGGAUCAAACCUGAGAGCUUCUUUGAAAAAGACUUGCAGACUGAUCACCCUCUAACAGUUCUCCCUUCAAUACUCACUGCCCUGCUGGUACUGGGUUCUGUUGGAUGCAUCUGCUGUGGGGCAUGAUCCAUCUCAGGGGUACCCUGGACACCCAGGCAGAUUGCCAUGGGAAUUUUGAACACCUGAGCAGAUAAUAUGAUGUCCCUCCAUGGAAUAAAGAAUUGCUAUAAAAAGCUGGACUAUGUGAAAGGGUAGGGGGAGCAAAGUGAGAGACAUUCACAAUGAUGGUAUUGCUAAGAAAUUGGGAUGGUGCAUUUCCUACUUGUUGGAUUUUUCUAGUAAAUGCAGCUUCUUUGUAUACUGAAACAGUACGAUCUUGAAAAUAUUACUUGGUACUCAUUUUGAAAAAUAUUACCUUAUCUUUUUCAAGUUUUGGGUCAUUACCCAGGACAGAUACAAUAUGUUUGGUCAGGCAAAUGUCAGCUGGACAGCCAUAGUAUCAUAAAGGCAGGCACUGCUUCCAUAGUAGCAGUGAGUGCUGCUGGAAGUUCCUAGGUCCUCUUUCACCUUUGGUGAAAUCUUUGCUUCCAAAUCUUCUGCAAUUAGUUUGUAUGGUUGUUUUAUAUUACAAAAAAGAAAUACAGUAAAAGAACUACCAAUAAAAAGUUACUCUUAAUGUGUAAUUUCUUAUGUAAAGAUGCCGGGGUACUUGGAGUAUUGGUGGUAAGCAUCUCCACAGUGUUUUUUGUAGU